AUUCCGGUUGAUCCUGCCGGAGGACAUUGCUAUUGGGAUUCGAUUUAGCCAUGCUAGUCGAGCGAGUUCAGACUCGCGGCGAAUAGCUCAGUAACACGUGGCCAAGCUCCCCUUCAGUCAGCGAUACCCUCGGGAAACUGAGGUUAACAGCUGAUACAAAACGCCAGCUGGAAUGCGGCGUUUCAGAAAGACAUCGCUGAAGGAUGCGGCUGCGGCCGAUUAGGUAGACGGUGGGGUAACGGCCCACCGUGCCAGUAAUCGGUACGGGUGAUGAGAGUCAGAGCCCGGAGACGGAAUCUGAGACAAGAUUCCGGGCCCUACGGGGCGCAGCAGGCGCGAAACCUUACACUGCACGGAAGUGCGAUAGGGGAAUCCCAAGUGCGAGGGCAUAUUAGCCCUCGCUUUUCUCGACUGUAAGGUGGUCGACGAAUAAGAGCUGGGCAAGACCGGUGCCAGCCGCCGCGGUAAUACCGGCAGCUCAAGUGAUGUCCCAUAUUAUUGGGCCUAAAGCGUCCGUAGCU
This 521-nucleotide ribosomal RNA is filed under the name uncultured haloarchaeon. Its description in RNAcentral is "bacterial SSU rRNA". It matches the Rfam family "Archaeal small subunit ribosomal RNA", at positions 1 to 526 of the family's 1478-position model. The record is from RNAcentral. Lineage: Archaea; Methanobacteriati; Methanobacteriota; Halobacteria; Halobacteriales; Halobacteriaceae.